AAAAGCUCAAGGUUCACCAUAGAAUAUUGCCCUAAAAUAUCUUGCCAUUUGGGAGUGGCGUUGGACCGAGCAUAAGCAUCGAAUUCUUCAAGGAUGCGGGAGAUGGCUUUGAAGAGGCUGAUAGCUCGAGUUUUUACGGACUCCAAAUUGAGCUGCUGCUGCACUGCCUGGUUCAGCCUCUCCACUACCACCAUCUGCGGUGGUGGCUGUUGAUUUUGGAGCUGAGGUUGGUCCAUUCCCUCCAUUCUGCAAUUCUUCGCUUUCUUUGCUUCGAUGCGCUUUUGUAUCGCACACUAAACUAAGAGGAAAGUGC
Molecule: unclassified non-coding RNA, 313 nt
Filed under: Hevea brasiliensis (rubber tree)
Lineage: Eukaryota; Viridiplantae; Streptophyta; Magnoliopsida; Malpighiales; Euphorbiaceae
Source: RNAcentral